UGGCCCAGAGCCCUGUCCCGGUCAAGCGCAGCUGGAGGGAGCCUCCUGUCCCUGUAGAGCAGAGGAGAAAGCACCGGGCAGUUGGGUUUCUGGCAGUUGCCUUCUGCCAAGGAGCAGCAGUGGGACAGUUUUCCCAGACAGUUGAACGAAUAGGGCAGAGCUAAUUAGACAAGGAAUUGUUAGUUGAAUAGCCCCAGAACAUGUGGGGAUUUUUUUCUUUCUCACCCUGUUUGGGAGGAUGGGAGCUUUUGUCUUUCCUGAUAGAAGUACAGUUGCUGCCAAAGGAAACACACCCAAAGACCAAUAGUGACGCGGCCUUCUCUUUGCUUCCUUUCUUCUUCCCUCACUGCUACACAGUGCUCUCAUACCAGGACCUCACUGCUGCCUCACCUGAGGGUUUACAGCUGCCUCCAGGCCCUUCCAGGCUAAGCGCAGGUGCUCAGGAGUCUGACCUUUUCCUGACAUCUCCCAAGAAAGUCUUUGCCUCAUCUGGAUUUCUUGGGGUUUCAUCAGAGGAACCAGGCACCAGCAAAUUUCAUCUCAAGCGUGAGCUCAUCAUUCCGCUGGUUCCCAUAGACUGCAGAUGCCGCCCUGGGCUCACGGUUUCUCUGCGUCCCAUAGACCAUCACAACCCUUCCAUGGCCUCUCCAGAGGGAAGCAGCUGCACAUCUUCAGAGCAGUAUUUGCCAGCCUGCAGUUCAUCAGCCACCCCAGGCACUUCAGGCCCCAGCGCUCCAGCUGGCAGUGCUGGUUUUGCACCAUGGACAGCCCCCAGCUGGCUGUGGAAUACUCCUGGGGAAGAGGAAUUGCCACCACCGGAUCUGGACAUGGUGCUUGAGACGCUGGAGGAGAUGUUUUCUCCCUCUGCUCAGGUAACUGCAUUGGACAGGGAAGAAAAGGGCUGGGAGCUGAGAGCUUGUGAAUGUUGUUGCAUGGCUGAGAAGCAAAGGCUUCUUGAGUUCAGCUCAGUGAAUGGACAGGAAAAGAUUUGCUUGGUGAAACAAGACUUCCUAAAGAAGAGGGAAUGAAAAAGUCUCCCCCUGAAUAAGGAUGAAGAGGUGUGAGCCUGUGUUGGUCAGGUUUGGGUGCCUGUUUUCCUGGGAAGAAUCCCUCGUGCAGGGGUGUUUGUGGUGAGGAAGUGGAAGCUUUGUAGGUUCUAAGAGGCUUUGUUUGGUGGGAAAGAAGAGAAGAGUGUUUGGAGAAUUGCCAAGUGUCCCGUGCAGGGAGGGACAUGCCAGAGGUGCCUGUUCCAGCAGCAGAUGUGGGCUGUGCCUCUUUUGGGUGGGAAGGCCAAGGCAAAGCAGGGCUGGGCUGCAGCUGCUGCUGCUGUGUGAGCCCUGCCGGGCGUGUGGGCGCUCCCAGAGCCGUGUGUGGGGCUGGGCUGGAGCUGCAGCUUUCUUGUCCUCUGGGUAACCUGGUGCCUGCAGCCCAGUCUCCAUCUGGGAAAUCCUCAGCUGGGCAAACUGGCCAGUCUUGCUGUCCAUGUUGCAGAGCUCAGUCACCUUGCUCUUGGGCAGCUCUGUGGGAAGAGAUGUGUGUUCCCACGCAGUCCCUGCCAAGCUGCAGCCUGGAUGAGACUGCUUUGCUCAGGGUUGUGGAGGAGGAGCAAAUCUCUGUGCCAGGACUCCUUCCUUAGCAGCCAUUCCAUGUGUUCAGUGUCACCCCCACGUUCAACACUGUCAGCUUUGACAGCUUUUGGACUGUGUUUGAGAAGUGAAAUUGUUUUGACUCUUGAAUGGCUUUGGGGCCCAGAGUUCUUGUUAGGAACAAGGGAUUAAGAGUGUGAGGCAUGGAGUUGUUGGACCAGGUGUUUGGUGUAACUGGUGAGAAGGGUUUCUUCCUUUCUGUUUCUCUUUCAAGGGGAAUAUUAAUGUUGCCCCAGAGUCUUCAGGAGGGCAGCCUGUGGACAGAGCUGAAGCAGAAGGAGCUUUGCCUGGCACCAGGAGGUGCGGGAACAAUUCCCAGGAGCCCGAAGAGCUUGAUUUCCACCUAAUCUACCUUGCCAGGAGGGCUGCCCUGCGUGAGAAAAAGGAUCGGAGGGAGAGCCUGUGACCAUCGGGCAGGUGGAAUCCCUCCAUUUAUACAUAGAUUUAUAGAUUUCCAUAGUUCUAUUUAUAUAUCCUUGUAGUUACAUUUAUUGAUUUAUACAAUCCUAUUUAUAUAUCCACAUAGUUAUAUUUGUAGGUUUAUAGAGAACAUAUAUAUAUAUAUAUAUACAUCUAUACAGUUAAAUCUAUAUAUAGUUUUUGAUGUGAUAGAAUUAUAUUUAUGUGCAUGUAGUUACAUUUAUAGAUUUUAAAAUUUACAUUUAUAUACAUAGAGAGUAAUAAUAUAUUUUUAAUAUUUUUAUAUUUAUAAAUCUGCAUCGAUAUGUAGUUAGAGUUAUAUGGAUUUUUAGAUGGAUAGAUUGAUGUUAGUGUAGGUCUAGGCAGUAUUUUUACCUCUUUCCCCCUCGGCUGCCUUUUUCACCUCUGGCUUUUCCCCCUGUGCCCCCUGUGUCCCCUCUCCCUGGGCUGGGUCCGAGCUGGCGGCCGGGCCGGGCGCAGCAGCAGUUCCAGCCCCGGAUGUCCCUGGAGCGCUGGGAGCUGCCGGUGGCCCCAGGCACUGUCCCCUGAGGAGCUGCUGAAGG
Molecule: long non-coding RNA, 2629 nt
Organism: Passer domesticus (house sparrow)
Lineage: Eukaryota; Metazoa; Chordata; Aves; Passeriformes; Passeridae
Exons: 3
Source: RefSeq, a predicted model, not a curated record